Long non-coding RNA from Cuculus canorus (common cuckoo), 1486 nucleotides. RefSeq lists it as uncharacterized. The transcript has 3 exons. The record is from RefSeq and is a predicted model, not a curated record. Lineage: Eukaryota; Metazoa; Chordata; Aves; Cuculiformes; Cuculidae.
UCUGUCCAUGUGGGUGAAAUCUACCAUCACUGACCAUCUGUUCUUUUCAGAGAAUUCUCUUGAAUUUAUCAUCAUCUUGCUCUGUCGCACGUCAGCUGGGGACUGCCCAAGAGACACCACCGUUCUCUUUUUUUUCUGUUUCCCUUUGGGUUGUAAAGCCUCCAAGGAUAUUAUACUUCCAAGAAAUCAGCUAUGCUUAGCUGAUGGACAGGCUUAAGUGAGGACUGUCUUAGAAGGUUGCUUGCUUAGCACAACAAAGCCACAGCACUGGAUGGUGUGCACUAUCAUCAAAUGGGAGUUUCUACUUUGCUUUAUAACCCUGCUCAUAUUAAGAUUCUGUGGAGAAAACUAAAACAUACGGCAAUCCUCGAAUGCCACCUUGAUAUGCUGCCAACCAUGUAUACCUAAGACGUCUGCUGGGCUACAUGGAGCCAGAAGAGUAAGCCUGGAAAAACACAAAGCUGGGAAUACAAUUCAUCCAAACUCUGCUCGGUAUAAUUUAUAAGGGACAUGAGAAGGAUGUUAGUUUUAAUAUGUUCAGCAUUGGGUCACAUACCAGCCAUUUGCCGCAGCAAGCAGCGUGUUUCAAUUUCACUUGUCUAGACAGAGUUUUGGGUUGUCCCGUUCUGGCAGGCAAUGUGAGAUUUCAUACCUUGAUCUUAUCAUUCUAUGUUGAAUUUACUUCAGAGAGAACACCUGCAGCCUGAAAGUGUGGAUUCAGUGAGAGCUGCAAAUGCAGAGCACCUCUGAGGAUGUAGACCUCUGUCCUUGACAGGGGCUGCUAGCAGCAGUCCUUGCCUGAUGUAUUGUGUUUUUGCAAUAUCUCAAUGGAUUUCAAUGAUUUUGAACAGUGGUUUUCCAGCAGAGGCUUCCAGGUAACUCCUGGGUUGACUGCUAAAGACCACCCUUGCAUUUUUUUGCUACCUUCUGUGGAACAUGAGUGGAAAACAUCGGCUCGAAUUUGCCAGGAAAUUCACUGAAGAACACCAUAUCCCUUACAUAUCGUCCUCCCACUGGCGAGCAGCUCUCAGAGACGACAAUUACGGUAGACUUAAAGCAGUGGUUUGAACAGCUGGCUGGUUUGUGCAGACUUUCACCAAAAUAGUCACACUGGUUGCGGUUCUCGCUGAUCGAAGUGUUGAUGCAGAUGAAUGUAUGUGCAUAAUUCCAGUAUUGAUACUAUUAUUGUUUGUAGCAAAACAGUGCCUUGGGUCAAACAACAGGUCUUCCUUGUACCAGGCACCCCAGGAACUCCUAGAAACUGACAGUUCCUGUGCUAAAAGGCUUACAGAUAAACAAAGCUUCCUUUUUAAAUUGUUUGCAAGUCUUCUUUAUAUGAUUAUUAUUUUUAUUGCAGAUCCAUGCAUAUUUACAGGUAUGAGUAGAUCUGGAUUUGGCUUUACUUCAGUGUAAAUGCCUGUGUCGCUUAUCCCCAGCAGUCUAUGGUACACAAAGCUCUGUGGGAACCGCCUGUAAACUUUGGUGC